UACAGAGGGGGCAAGCGUUGCUCGGAAUUACUGGGCGUAAAGGGCGCGUAGGCGGGAUUGCAAGUCGGUCGUGAAAUCCUUCGGCUCAACCGAAGAACGUCGAUCGAUACUGCUGUUCUUGAGGAUUGCAGAGGAGACUGGAAUUCCCGGUGUAGCGGUGAAAUGUGUAGAGAUCGGGAGGAACACCGGUGGCGAAGGCGGGUCUCUGGGCAGUAACUGACGCUGAGGAGCGAAAGCGUGGGGAGCGAACAGG
Molecule: ribosomal RNA, 253 nt
Filed under: uncultured bacterium
Lineage: Bacteria
Description: partial 16S ribosomal RNA
Rfam family: Bacterial small subunit ribosomal RNA
Source: RNAcentral